Molecule: unclassified non-coding RNA, 1001 nt
Filed under: Hevea brasiliensis (rubber tree)
Lineage: Eukaryota; Viridiplantae; Streptophyta; Magnoliopsida; Malpighiales; Euphorbiaceae
Source: RNAcentral
CCAACGGCCAUUAAAAAUGGACCUUCCCACUCCUUAUAUAAACACAUAACACAAACACCACUCUUUCCGAAUUCGUUUUCUCAGAUUUCCCCACUAUUUUCUCGCCCAACAAACGCUCCCUAAAUCCCCGCCAAUACACACAUCCGCUCCAACCGCCGGCGUCCAUCCCUUUUCUCUAUUUAAUAGGAAGACUGCCAGGCAUUGUACUAAGACCCAUAAUACCAACACCAACUAGGAAGAUCAAGAAUCUGAUGAUAGAAUAAACAAAGGUAACAAGUUUACUUACGUUCUAGACCGGUGGUUGUGGAUGGCUGGGAGCUUUGUAAAUGGUGCCAGGGGAAAUUCAAAUUCCGUUGUCAAUUAUAUUAAGAUGGAACAUAAAGAUGGAGUGGUGUUUCCCCGCUUCUACACGGCUUUACCAACAUCAACAGCAUCCUCGUUCUCGUCAACACCGGAGAAAGAUGCCGCCGGUAACCGGAAAAAGAAAAGUAAGAGGAAGUUCUUGCGUGCAGUUAAGGCUGUACUCUUCGAGAUAUCAUUUGCUAAGAAGAUCAAGAAAAAAGUGUUUCCAAGGAAGACGAAGCAGUCUAAUGUUGAUCCAUCAGCAAAAGUUGAAAAGCAUUUGAACCAUGUGAAGGGAAACUCAUCGUUUCAAAAAUUUUCCAAGAAAAAUGACGGAACAAGCGUAACUUUUGCUCCUUCUAUGAAUUCUUCUGCUUGGUCUUCACGCAAUUCGCCAACGAAUUCAACGAAUUCCAAUCCAUUCGGGGACAAUAGACUUCCAUUUGAAUCAUAUAGUUCAUUUGAGACCCAAAAGAAGCAAGACAUGGAACAAGAGAAUAAUGGAAAAGGGAAUUAUAGUUCCAAUACAGGGUUGUUCUUGCUUCUCGUGACUCUCUCGGUUCUGGUCUGCUGGGGCAAGGUAUAUGCUAUCUUGUGGACUUCGACAUGGCUUUUCUUUGUCCCCAACUUGAAUGCACGGAAUAAAUUACUGAGAAGUA